Molecule: ribosomal RNA, 496 nt
Filed under: uncultured bacterium
Lineage: Bacteria
Description: partial 16S ribosomal RNA
Rfam family: Bacterial small subunit ribosomal RNA
Source: RNAcentral
AUGCACGCUGGCGGCGUGCCUAAUACAUGCAAGUCGAGCGAACAGACGAGGAGCUUGCUCCUCUGACGUUAGCGGCGGACGGGUGAGUAACACGUGGAUAACCUACCUAUAAGACUGGGAUAACUUCGGGAAACCGGAGCUAAUACCGGAUAAUAUAUUGAACCGCAUGGUUCAAUAGUGAAAGACGGUUUUGCUGUCACUUAUAGAUGGAUCCGCGCCGCAUUAGCUAGUUGGUAAGGUAACGGCUUACCAAGGCAACGAUGCGUAGCCGACCUGAGAGGGUGAUCGGCCACACUGGAACUGAGACACGGUCCAGACUCCUACGGGAGGCAGCAGUAGGGAAUCUUCCGCAAUGGGCGAAAGCCUGACGGAGCAACGCCGCGUGAGUGAUGAAGGUCUUCGGAUCGUAAAACUCUGUUAUUAGGGAAGAACAAAUGUGUAAGUAACUAUGCACGUCCUGACGGUACCUAAUCAGAAAGCCACGGCUAACUACGUG